CGGUCACCGGUGGUGUGCUAAUGCCACCUCCUCCCUACCUCUGCGCCCUGCAAUCAGCCCUGCCUUGGUGGGCUGCUGAAUCCCGGGAAACCCGUCAACUGUUUAUCCCUCUUCCUCAGAAAGAUGUUUCCCCGAGAGCUGGCUGAAUGAGGCGCACUGCCCCCAAGUCAGUGCUGCAUGCCUUAGGGAAUAGUGAUGGAGUAGUCCUCUACCCUCAGGGAAAUUCUAAAACACAGUAAGAGCAAAAUGAAUCGAGCCUUUGAAGGCAUGGCGCUAAGGGUUUUAGUUGCAAUCAUCUCAUGCACUCUUCUCAACUCUGAUAGGAGGGCUGUUCCUCCCAACUCAAGUGUGACAUCUGCUUAAAAGAUGAAACCAGCCUCAUUCCAAAUGAAUGACAUCUGGACAGCUCUUCAAGGAUGAACAUUUUAUUUGAAUAUAGGCACUUGGCAGAGUAAAUACAUGGUUACAAAGUGUUUUAAGUUUACUUGCUUUACAUAGUGACCAGAAAAGUCAAUCCGCUGCCGUGUAGAUUUUUUUUUCUUGAUGUUGCGACUUUAGAAGGCAAAGCCCUAAACCCGUCUCUUUAUGGUAACGUGUGAAGACACAUGUUGCACUGAGUGGAACUAUUAUUAUGAAGUCAAUCAUGUUCUUCCAUUCCCCACAUCAAAAUUGCUAUGGAUCACAUAUCACUUAACCUUAUUAUGAGGAACAAAAAUCACUUUUGUCUUGGAGAAUUGUGAAACCUUUUGAAAUCACUAGCUCUGAUAUAGAGGACUACAAAACCAGACUUGAGAGAAGUUUUAUAAUAAAAUAUGUAAGGCCAGAAAGCUUUUGGACAAAUUGGAAUCUACCCUUGUAGUCCCCAAAAUCUUUUUUUUUUUUUUUUAAGAGAGUCUACUAUGUGUAAUGCAAGGCACUACUCUCUCUGCUCAAAGCUACAAGGGAAAAAAUGACAAGCCCAAUUUUUUUCAAGGAAAAUAUAUUUUCCUUAUGAAAGGUCAGUAGUAAAAGAACUAGUUUAAAGUCAGGGAGUUUUUGCCAAAAACCAUGUCUCAAGGUUUUAUGCAUUUCUAAUGGCUUUGCCCAUAGGAGAGAUCCCCAGAGCGGCACACAGAGGCUUUUCAUGCUGCUCAUUUAGAUCAGAAUAACCUUGCUCCAAUCUGGAAACCACCGAAACAACACAUACAAGUCUGUAUGAAAAGCAAAAUGAACUCAUGGUGAUAUGAAGUUAUUCCAUUCAACAUGUUAAAAUGAAUACAGAGCAUUUUAAAUGUACUCUAGUUUCCCGUUCCAUCUUCAAGUGAAAUAAUCAUCCUGCUUAUUCUAGAAAACUUGUCUUUUUUUUUUUGAGACAGGUUCUCAUUUUAUUGCCCAGGCUGGAGUGCAGUGGUACAAUCAUAGCUCACUGCAGCCUUAACUUCCCU
Molecule: long non-coding RNA, 1424 nt
Organism: Cebus imitator (Panamanian white-faced capuchin)
Lineage: Eukaryota; Metazoa; Chordata; Mammalia; Primates; Cebidae
Exons: 2
Source: RefSeq, a predicted model, not a curated record